Molecule: long non-coding RNA, 542 nt
Organism: Zea mays
Lineage: Eukaryota; Viridiplantae; Streptophyta; Magnoliopsida; Poales; Poaceae
Exons: 3
Source: RefSeq, a predicted model, not a curated record
UUUUUUCAAUUUAUGUACAUCAAUCAAACCACUAUGGAAUAUUUCUAAAUGAUUUGUUAUAAGUGCUACUGCUUUCUGUGCUCUGGUUCUGCCAACAAACAAUGCCCAACUGAGAAAACUGGGUCUGUACUCCCUGGCCCUGCAGCUGUCCGGUGCCUCCCUCUAUGCAUCUCUGUAGUUUGCAUAUUAAUAGUACUAACUGCUUGAACUAUGGUUGUGAUUUGCCAUGUGCUUCUGAAUUUUGGAUAGAUUUUUCUUUAGUUCAAGGUUUGUGGAGAUGGUCAUUGUGCUCCAGGAUCCUACAACGUGACAUCACAUCAACUGUAAAGGAGGUCUUUGAUAUCAUGGAUACAAGAAUAUCACUUAACAAACUGUGUCAACUCUUGAAACAGCACAAUGUGCUUGCAAUCUAGCCAAUUCAAAAAGAAGCUAUCGAAGAACUAUUGCAAGGCAGUACUGAGUUGGAGCAUUUGAGAAAUAGAGCUACCAAAAAAUCAUAUGGGCACUAAAUCCCCUUUCCGUCCCUCAGUAUAUCAUGUCAC